Molecule: long non-coding RNA, 707 nt
Filed under: Equus asinus (donkey)
Lineage: Eukaryota; Metazoa; Chordata; Mammalia; Perissodactyla; Equidae
Description: lncRNA (ENSEASG00005038162.1)
Source: RNAcentral
AGCUCAUAAAAACAACUCUCAGUUAUCUAACCUCUACAAGCAACAUUUUGGGUCAUUGUGAGACUUGAGGUAAUUGCCAUUUACCAGUUACAGAUAUAAGAUGUUCGUGGUCUGUUUAUUCCUCUCAGUAAAACAUCUGUCAUAUCAUAGCCUGGGUGCUUGCAUAAUUUGGAACUGUUGCCAAUCAACUUAGAUGCCUAGUCUUCAUGUUUCUCUGUGGCCAAAAGCCAACGCAAGUGUCACUUUCCCACAGAGUAUCUUGAACCAUCCAAACCACAAACAUCUCCAGCACAUGGUUUCCAUUAUAACAAUCCUGGGUAUCUGUCAAAAGUGAAGAGCAGGAGGUUGUAACUCUGAGGAGAGAAGACAGACUGGAGAGCCAAUCAAAUUUCAAACUAUACUUUGCUGUGGGCAUGGAUGGAGAAGCAGGUCACAUCUGAUGAAUGAAGAGGAGCUUCCAAGCAGCCAAAGUAAAGUAUUUUGCUACACAAACUGCAGGAUCAAUGUUCGUGUUUUGAAGCUCAAGAGAUUGACAGCUGUAGAAAUUAAGUUCCAGAAUAUAUCCACCAGCCAGGUUCAUAAUUGUCUCAGAAGUGGCCCUGGGAAACCCAAACAGCUCCAAGGACCACUAUACCAGGCCACUCCGCUUCUCUAAUAAAAUAUUUCUACCACUACUCUUAAAAUUUGUUUUUAAAAUUUAAUUUUUA